CAGUAGCCGCGGGAAUACGUAGGGUGCAAGCGUUAAUCGGAAUUACUGGGCGUAAAGCGUGCGCAGGCGGUUUUGUAAGACAGAGGUGAAAUCCCCGGGCUCAACCUGGGAACUGCCUUUGUGACUGCAAGGCUAGAGUACGGCUGAGGGGGAUGGAAUUCCGCGUGUAGCAGUGAAAUGCGUAGAUAUGCGGAGGAACACCGAUGGCGAAGGCAAUCCCCUGGGCCUGUACUGACGCUCAUGCACGAAAGCGUGGGGAGCAAACAGGAUUAGAUACCCGGGUAGUCCCUGUCUCUUAUAC
RNAcentral lists this ribosomal RNA (301 nucleotides) under uncultured bacterium. Its description in RNAcentral is "partial 16S ribosomal RNA". It matches the Rfam family "Bacterial small subunit ribosomal RNA", at positions 509 to 807 of the family's 1533-position model. The record is from RNAcentral.